This is a small nuclear RNA of Tupaia belangeri (northern tree shrew), 111 nucleotides long. The record is from Ensembl. Lineage: Eukaryota; Metazoa; Chordata; Mammalia; Scandentia; Tupaiidae.
GUACUCGCUUCGGCAGCACAUAUACUGAAUGAAACUGGAACGCUACAGAGAAGAUUAGCAUGGCCUCCUCACAAGGAUGACAUGCACACCUGUGAAGCAUUCCUAUUUUAA